UACGGAGGGUGCGAGCGUUGUUCGGAAUUAUUGGGCGUAAAGGGCGCGCAGGCGGGUUGCUAAGUCUGAUGUGAAAUCCCUCGGCUCAACCGAGGACGUGCAUUGGAUACUGGCAACCUUGAGUCCUGGAGAGGGAAGCGGAAUUCCCAGUGUAGAGGUGAAAUUCGUAGAUAUUGGGAGGAACACCGGUGGCGAAGGCGGCUUCCUGGACAGUGACUGACGCUGAGGCGCGAAAGCGUGGGGAGCAAACAGG
RNAcentral lists this ribosomal RNA (253 nucleotides) under uncultured bacterium. RNAcentral describes it as "partial 16S ribosomal RNA". It matches the Rfam family "Bacterial small subunit ribosomal RNA", at positions 524 to 776 of the family's 1533-position model. The record is from RNAcentral.